Molecule: long non-coding RNA, 1371 nt
Organism: Macrobrachium nipponense
Lineage: Eukaryota; Metazoa; Arthropoda; Malacostraca; Decapoda; Palaemonidae
Exons: 3
Source: RefSeq, a predicted model, not a curated record
ACAUGUUUUAUUUUUCACUUUUGAAGUUCGACGCCAUGGGCUGGUUUCAGUGACUGCCGGUGAGGCAGUUACCUAUCUUGUUCCACAAACUCGUACUUUUCUCAUCUCGCUGUCUCCAUGUGGUCCCUACGGGAUGAAUCUUGCCGAGGACCUAAGUGUUGGAAUGUGGUUUAUUACAGUAAGAAAUAUACAGCAAGAAAAAUACAGCAAAACUAACUUUUCCCAUUGUUGUGUAUCUACUUCAUCACAACCAGUUUUAGCAACUUAGUUUCGUUUGAAUUAAAUGGAUGUUUAAUUAUUAAGAGUAAUCCUUUUCCUUAUAAGGACAACAACAAAAUUGUUGGCGUUGGAUGCUACGAUGAAAUUCAAGACUGGCUGAAAAAAGAAAAAAACUGCUGCUCUCCCGAGAUUCUUCAGAACUUCAGUAUCCAUUUUUUUUCCUCCACCCCAUCGGGGGCGGUGCCCCUGAUCGGGUGGAGGGGCUCCUUAGGACUUGCAUAGUAGGCGUGUUGGCCUACUGUGCGAGUCCUUGGAGUUUUUUUAUUUUUGUUUUCCGUUGCAGAUGACCGUGAGCUUUAACUUUACUAUUACUCGCAAUUUUUAAAAUUUAUAAUCUAGUAAUUUCAGUAGAUUAGCGUCGCAUUUAAUGUUUUGUACAUCUUCAAUGGUUUGUUUAAAUCUGAUGGUUGUAUAAAACUGUUUUGAGUUCUUGUCUUAACAGUUAACUUGCAUUAGUAAGCCAUAUAUUUAGUGUUUUUAUGGUUGAAUUUAUUGGCUUGACCCACUCUGGCUUUAGUUACUUCGCGCCCUAAUACUGUGAUUUCAAAAGCAAUUUUUUGGAAUAUAUUAGUUUGGUCAGUUCUUCAUAUGUAACUAAGUUUUCGGUUUAGGUCAGUUUGAUCUUUAUGGAAAACUCUAGGACGAUUACUUCUGGUUUAGAGUAUUAGUUUUCAGUUCCCAUUCCAUUUUAGUUUUGGAUCAUGAACUCUUAUUAAAAUCUUAAAAUCCAUGUUUAUAUAUAACUUUUAGAUAUUUGGUUGAUGUUAGUAUUUUGAAGAAUGUUUGAUGUUUAUGCAUUUUGUAAUUCGAAAAGAUUUUGCACGAUUAAGGUUUGCUUUUAAUUUAGUUUUAUCCAAAGUUUUUCAUGUUGCCUUUCAUGACUUCCAGGUGACCUUCUUGCUCUGAGGGGUUUAGAAUGGUGAACUCGAGGAUUUGAGUAAUUGUGUGAUUAGUUCGUAGACUGCUCCUUUUUCCAUCUGUUACAAAAGCGAGGCUUUCCUAAUUUCCUAAUUUUAGUGUUGUAGUGUGAUAAUAAAUUCUGUAACCGUAGAUUAAUGAUUGAGAUUCCAAUGUGUGCACCAUCCUGUAAUU